RNAcentral lists this ribosomal RNA (432 nucleotides) under uncultured bacterium. RNAcentral describes it as "partial 16S ribosomal RNA". It matches the Rfam family "Bacterial small subunit ribosomal RNA", at positions 29 to 506 of the family's 1533-position model. The record is from RNAcentral.
AACGAACGCUGGCGGCAUGCCUAACACAUGCAAGUCGAACGAGACCUUCGGGUCUAGUGGCGCACGGGUGCGUAACGCGUGGGAACCUGCCCUUAGGUUCGGAAUAACUCCCCGAAAGGGGUGCUAAUACCGGAUAAUGUCUUCGGACCAAAGAUUUAUCGCCUUUGGAUGGGCCCGCGUUGGAUUAGCUAGUUGGUAGGGUAAAAGCCUACCAAGGCGACGAUCCAUAGCUGGUCUGAGAGGAUGAUCAGCCACACUGGGACUGAGACACGGCCCAGACUCCUACGGGAGGCAGCAGUGGGGAAGAUUGGACAAUGGGCGAAAGCCUGAUCCAGCAAUGCCGCGUGAGUGAUGAAGGCCUUAGGGUUGUAAAGCUCUUUUACCCGGGAUGAUAAUGACAGUACCGGGAGAAUAAACUCCGGCUAACUCCGG